AUUGAACGCUGGCGGCAUGCCUUACACAUGCAAAUCGAACGGUAACGGGCCUUCGGGUGCCGACGAGUGGCGGACGGGUGAGUAAUACAUCGGAACGUGCCCGAUCGUGGGGGAUAACGAGGCGAAAGCUUUGCUAAUACCGCAUACGAUCUACGGAUGAAAGCAGGGGACCGCAAGGCCUUGCGCGGACGGAGCGGCCGAUGGCAGAUUAGGUAGUUGGUGGGAUAAAAGCUUACCAAGCCGACGAUCUGUAGCUGGUCUGAGAGGAUGAUCAGCCACACUGGGACUGAGACACGGCCCAGACUCCUACGGGAGGCAGCAGUGGGGAAUUUUGGACAAUGGGCGCAAGCCUGAUCCAGCCAUGCCGCGUGCAGGAUGAAGGCCUUCGGGUUGUAAACUGAUUUUGUACGGAACGAAAAGCCUUCUUUUAAUACAGGAGGGUCAUGACGGUACCGUAAGAAUAAGCACCGGCUAACUACGUG
Molecule: ribosomal RNA, 482 nt
Filed under: uncultured bacterium
Lineage: Bacteria
Description: partial 16S ribosomal RNA
Rfam family: Bacterial small subunit ribosomal RNA
Source: RNAcentral